AGCUCUGAGAUCAGAUACACUGUGGA
Molecule: non-coding RNA, 26 nt
Filed under: Cricetulus griseus (Chinese hamster)
Lineage: Eukaryota; Metazoa; Chordata; Mammalia; Rodentia; Cricetidae
Source: RNAcentral